AGUUAAUAAGUUCAUAAACAUAUAUUUUGAAAAUAUAAAAUAGAAUUUAAUAAUUCUAUUAACUU
Molecule: transfer RNA, 65 nt
Filed under: Megacrania alpheus adan
Lineage: Eukaryota; Metazoa; Arthropoda; Insecta; Phasmatodea; Phasmatidae
Also listed under: 1 other name
Description: tRNA-Ser
Source: RNAcentral